UCUCUCUCUCUCUCUUUUCCCCUUGUCCCUCUCUUCAAGUUAGAUACCUUUUUAGUGUGUUUUAAGAGGGAGAUAGAAGACUUGAGUGCUUGCAGCCUUGCUUGGUUUGAUUAUUGAAUCAUGAGAGUGAGAGAGGAAAGAGAGAGAGAGAGAGAGAGAUGAAGAGGGAGAGAAAGAGAGAUAAGGAGAGAGAUAAAGAGACAGAGAGGGAAAGAGAGUGGUUCUCUUGGAGAAGGAAAGCGGGUGUUUGGAAUGAGGCUUCAUUCCUGACACCAAGCUUUCCUGUGUAAACGCAACUACUUCGCAGUAAGUUCUUGUCUUGAUCCACUUGUUCUCUCUUUCAUCAUACUUGUAUACUUUGUGUCUAGAUCUUCCCAAAGGCAGUGGAUCUAUUCACUUACUCAUCUACUCUGGGAGUGUGAAAAAACCCAUACACCUAAGAUGAUCGAUUAUAAAAUAUCUUAGCUAGGCUUUUCAUCUUCCUAGUAGGUUAUGAAUCUUUGGCUUUGAAGAAUAGAAAUAUGAUACUUUGCUCUUUCUUUCAGGCCGUACUUUUUUGUUUCAUUUUUUCAUGAAGAAAAACAGUGCAACUUAAUUUGCUUAAUUAAUAUUCUCUCAAUGAGUUUCAGAUCUGAAUUGAUUAAUUGGUCAAUCUAAUUCUCUAGCAACAUGUCAAUGAGGGAUCCAACUUCAUGAAGAAGUGGCUACUGUUGAUUUGAGAAACCCUAACAGCCCAGCCUAUGCAUAUGGAUAUCAUUAGUAGAUCAGAUGAGAAGCUGUGACUAAUUAUUCUAUUUAUGUAUCAUGUGCUAAACAAAGCAUAUAUAGUCCAAAUUAGAUGGGAUCAAUAACUGCAGAACCUGUGUAUGCUUUUUCUCUUUUAAAGCCUGUACCAUGAAAUUGCAGACGUACAGGAAUUUUAUGAAGGUAUUUCUCGAGGCAGUCCACAUGCAAGGACAAGGUACACUCUUUAUGUGUGCCCUUUUGGAAUUGGGUCUCCAAAAUAUUCUUGGGAAGUCCCUUCACCUGGUAAGCAUUUCCCAUUUCCCAUCUCCCAACCUUUUCUUCUCAAGUUCUUAUGCUAAUGGGAGAAGGUGUCUCUGGUCUUUUGUGUUUAGUUUUACUUAUUUGCCUUCUUGUGCAGUAAUAACUUUGUUCCUUUGCUCUGUGAGAAUCAUAUUAAGACUAGCUCUUUUUUUAACCAUUUUCUGGGGUUUCUGUCUGUGUGUUGAUUAGUUGUAUAACAUUUUUCCAUCUUUUUCUUUUCUGUUCUUUUCUUGGGGUUCUGGUUCUUGUCUGUCAAGACUCUUGGGUUGUUCUAACAUUUCUCCAGGAGAAUUCUGUGGUCACAUCAAGGGCAAGAACUGAUCCGUUUCUGCAAUGCCUCGUGCUCUUUGAAGUCAAAAGUGUAACUGGUAUGAUGUGAUGGUGGCUCAGAAAAAUUUAUAUGGAAGGACAAAAAUGUGAGAAAAGCAGCCCUCCUCACUCUUACCUGGUUUUUGGAGACCCAAGUCAAAUUUAUAGGUGGAAUAUAAUAUGUACUUGGUAUAGAUUUAAGAAGUCUUACAAGCUUCCAAUCAUUUUAUACAAAGUUUCUUCUUAAAAAAAAAAAAAACAAACAAACCAAGAAAUGUGACUAUACAUACAAUUAGGGUUUGGAUUUUUAGGCUGGCUGAAUCUACAUAGGAGUAAACCUAUCAUUCCUCACAAAAUAUUUUUGUAGUCACUUGAACUUCAACUUCCUAAAUGGAGUAUAACAAAACUGAUUUUAACUUCAUAAUCCAACAUAAACACUUGCAGCACUGGUUUUAUAUUCAUAUUUCUAUAUAUAUUCCUGUCCUUUUGCUUUUAAUGAUUUAUUUUCCUUCAAUCCCUACACCCAACUGCCAUACAUUUGUGAAAAGGAUUUAAUGAAGAUAUCUGUUUUUCUCACUUUUAUUGAAUGAUCAUCUUAAAUUUUCAUAAGAGUUCUGCAUUAAUAUUCUUCCAAAAUCAUCAUGCUGCCCUGUGCCUAAUGAUACCAUCUUUUUAUACCAUGCACUUGUUGUAGAAUAAUUUCUCUGUUUUCAAGUAAUAAUUACUUCUAAUCAUGAAAUUUUGUGUGUGCAGGACUCCAAUGCAAGUAAUUACCAUACAAGAAAGGAGGGACUGCCAUAAGACUUGCAUAUAUAUAUAUAUAUAUAUAUAUAUAUAUAAAAUAGUCAUCCAAUGGACAGGCCCAUCUGAUUACCCAUCAGACUAGGUAUCCCUCUUGGCUCCUUUAAUGAAAGGGCUAUAGGAUAAAAGUCUAUAAAUAGGCCAUUCUAUAUAAUCGAGCCAUAACUAACCUACGUUGCUUUCUCUCUGCCAAGAGGAUAUUAUUUUUUAUUAAAAUUUAUUUAUUUUGAGACAUUUAAGUCAUGGGAAUACAAGGUUGGCUCUUGUAGCCUUCCACUACUAUGACACAAUUUUCAGGAGUACGAGAACUCUUGGGCCUUAUUUCUUAUGGACUUCAUACUAGGUAUGUUUAAGUAUUUUGAUUGGUGGAAGUAAUUUGAUGUUAAAUUUAAAUUUGGUAUUUGUAGGGA
This is a long non-coding RNA of Vitis riparia (riverbank grape), 2567 nucleotides long. RefSeq lists it as uncharacterized. The transcript is spliced from 2 exons. The record is from RefSeq and is a predicted model, not a curated record. Lineage: Eukaryota; Viridiplantae; Streptophyta; Magnoliopsida; Vitales; Vitaceae.